RNAcentral lists this ribosomal RNA (497 nucleotides) under uncultured bacterium. RNAcentral's name for it is "partial 16S ribosomal RNA". It matches the Rfam family "Bacterial small subunit ribosomal RNA", at positions 28 to 507 of the family's 1533-position model. The record is from RNAcentral.
GAUGAACGCUGGCGGCGUGCCUAAUACAUGCAAGUCGAGCGAACAGACGAGGAGCUUGCUCCUCUGACGUUAGCGGCGGACGGGUGAGUAACACGUGGAUAACCUACCUAUAAGACUGGGAUAACUUCGGGAAACCGGAGAUAAUACCGGAUAAUAUAUUGAACCGCAUGGUUCAAUAGUGAAAGACGGUUUUGCUGUCACUUAUAGAUGGAUCCGCGCCGCAUUAGCUAGUUGGUAAGGUAACGGCUUACCAAGGCAACGAUGCGUAGCCGACCUGAGAGGAUGAUCAGCCACACUGGAACUGAGACACGGUCCAGACUCCUACGGGAGGCAGCAGUAGGGAAUCUUCCGCAAAGGGCGAAAGCCUGACGGAGCAACGCCGCGUGAGUGAUGAAGGUCUUCGGAUCGUAAAACUCUUUUAUUAGGGAAGAACAAAUGUGUAAGUAACUAUGCACGUCUUGACGGUACCUAAUCAGAAAGCCACGGCUAACUACGUG